This 708-nucleotide ribosomal RNA is filed under the name uncultured Pseudomonadota bacterium. RNAcentral's name for it is "bacterial SSU rRNA". It matches the Rfam family "Bacterial small subunit ribosomal RNA", at positions 50 to 747 of the family's 1533-position model. The record is from RNAcentral. Lineage: Bacteria; Pseudomonadati; Pseudomonadota.
AACACAUGCAAGUCGAACGGUAACAGGAAGCAGCUUGCUGCUUCGCUGACGAGUGGCGGACGGGUGAGUAAUGUCUGGGAAGCUGCCUGAUGGAGGGGGAUAACUACUGGAAACGGUAGCUAAUACCGCAUAAUGUCGCAAGACCAAAGAGGGGGACCCUCGGGCCUCUUGCCAUCGGAUGUGCCCAGAUGGGAUUAGCUUGUUGGUGGGGUAACGGCUCACCAAGGCGACGAUCCCUAGCUGGUCUGAGAGGAUGACCAGCCACACUGGAACUGAGACACGGUCCAGACUCCUACGGGAGGCAGCAGUGGGGAAUAUUGCACAAUGGGCGCAAGCCUGAUGCAGCCAUGCCGCGUGUAUGAAGAAGGCCUUCGGGUUGUAAAGUACUUUCAGCGGGGAGGAAGGGAGUAAAGUUAAUACCUUUGCUCAUUGACGUUACCCGCAGAAGAAGCACCGGCUAACUCCGUGCCAGCAGCCGCGGUAAUACGGAGGGUGCAAGCGUUAAUCGGAAUUACUGGGCGUAAAGCGCACGCAGGCGGUUUGUUAAGUCAGAUGUGAAAUCCCCGGGCUCAACCUGGGAACUGCAUCUGAUACUGGCAAGCUUGAGUCUCGUAGAGGGGGGUAGAAUUCCAGGUGUAGCGGUGAAAUGCGUAGAGAUCUGGAGGAAUACCGGUGGCGAAGGCGGCCCCCUGGACGAAGACUGACGCU